RNAcentral lists this ribosomal RNA (253 nucleotides) under uncultured bacterium. RNAcentral's name for it is "partial 16S ribosomal RNA". It matches the Rfam family "Bacterial small subunit ribosomal RNA", at positions 524 to 776 of the family's 1533-position model. The record is from RNAcentral.
UACGUAGGUGGCAAGCGUUGUCCGGAUUUAUUGGGUUUAAAGGGUGCGUAGGCGGUCUAUUAAGUCAGUGCUGAAAUAUCCCGGCUUAACCGGGAGGGUGGCAUUGAUACUGAUGGACUUGAGUGCAGUCGAGGUAGGCGGAAUUGACGGUGUAGCGGUGAAAUGCUUAGAUAUCGUCAAGAACACCGAUAGUGUAGACAGCUUACUAGGCUGUAACUGACGCUGAGGCACGAAAGUGUGGGGAUCAAACAGG